GUGCGUUAGAACCCUGGGGAAGCAAGCUGGGAACCUCCCUCGAAGCCUGUCUGUUUCACUGUGCUCUCCUUAUCAUAGACACCUGCCACAGGGUUUGGCAUUUCCCCUUUUCUGAUUGGCUGCCUCCCCAGGGCCCGGGCCUCAGUGCUGGUGGCCCUCUGGGGGUCGGGAGCGCAUAAAUAGUUCCUGCUGGGGAAACUGGGAAACUGGUCUCAGACAAGAGGAACAGAGAUCUCUGCCACGCACUGCUGCCUGGAGCUGCAUGGGGUCCCAGUGCUGCCAGCGUGUCUUCUGUGUAUCGCCCCAUGCACCUCUGCCUCAGCCACAGCCCUUCCCCGCAGCAGCUCCCGCGGCCUGGCCUGGUAGAGCUGCAGCCCCAGGCCUCCUUCUACUCCUUCCUGGUACGACUGCAUGAACCCCAGAGACCCAAGAAGCGAGUAGUGUUUGCAGACACGAAGGGGAUCUCGUUGACAUCCGUGCACAAGUUUGAAGAUGCUGUGGGCAGACACUCUGAAGAAGCCUCGUGUCCCAUGUUCAGUUUCCUGCGCCCUGCGCCACCUGGCUGGCCAGAGCCACCACCUACGCUCUGGGCUUCCCCGCACCCAGGCAGGGUUCGGGGGUUCCAGAGGCGCCUGCAGGUGCAGAGUGUGCGCCCGGAGCAGCGUGCUGGGCAGGGGCCUUCCUGCGAGGCGCUGUCUAGCAGGCAGGCUGGGUUCCAGAAGGCAAGGCAGAUGCGCAUCACCUUUGAUGUCAGGGCUCCUUCCAAGAAGUGCCUAGUGUUCACACGGCCAGUCCUUGCAGAAGCGAGACUGACAGCUUCGCCUUCCAAGCCAUGUUGCCACU
Long non-coding RNA from Equus quagga, 843 nucleotides. RefSeq lists it as uncharacterized. Lineage: Eukaryota; Metazoa; Chordata; Mammalia; Perissodactyla; Equidae. The transcript is spliced from 3 exons. The record is from RefSeq and is a predicted model, not a curated record.